RNAcentral lists this transfer-messenger RNA (370 nucleotides) under Micrococcaceae. RNAcentral's name for it is "Arthrobacter_F sp005047635 Standard tmRNA". It matches the Rfam family "transfer-messenger RNA". From Rfam's summary of the family: Bacterial tmRNA, also known as 10Sa RNA or SsrA, is named for its dual tRNA and mRNA-like properties. Its role is to liberate the mRNA from a stalled ribosome. To accomplish this part of the tmRNA is used as a reading frame that ends in a translation stop signal. Lineage: Bacteria; Bacillati; Actinomycetota; Actinomycetes; Micrococcales. The record is from RNAcentral. RNAcentral also lists the same sequence under 1 other name.
GGGGAUGACAGGUUUCGACGAUGUUAGUCGCGCCAGGGGAAGCGGGCCGAGGAUGCAGAGUUAUCUCGGAAACGCUCUCUGCAAACCAAUAAGUGCCGAAUCUAAGCGCACUGACUUCGCACUCGCUGCCUAAGUAGCGUUGCAAGUCCGUCAGCCCGGGGAUGCUCUCGCCCCGGAUGCUGGCGUCAUUAAGAGAGCCACUGCUGGAUACCUCCGCCGUUGGGGUAUUCGGAACAUUUAGACGGCUGGGCCCGGGUCAGCCACCUGUUUGCAGGAUGGUUGGGGCCAAGAAAACCCGAAGCAAACUGCGCCCGGAGAAGUCCUGGCAACACAACAUCGGACGGGGGUUCAAUUCCCCCCAUCUCCACUG